This 73-nucleotide transfer RNA is filed under the name Felis catus (domestic cat). It matches the Rfam family "tRNA". Rfam says of the family: Transfer RNA (tRNA) molecules are approximately 80 nucleotides in length. RNAcentral also lists the same sequence under 4 other names. The record is from Rfam by way of RNAcentral. Lineage: Eukaryota; Metazoa; Chordata; Mammalia; Carnivora; Felidae.
GCCUGGCUGGCUCAGUUGGUAGAGCAUGUGACUCUUGAUCCUAGGGUUGUGAGUUUGAGCCCCAUGCUCGGUG